RNAcentral lists this long non-coding RNA (382 nucleotides) under Amphimedon queenslandica. RNAcentral describes it as "uncharacterized LOC109584424". The record is from RNAcentral. Lineage: Eukaryota; Metazoa; Porifera; Demospongiae; Haplosclerida; Niphatidae.
UCUUGUGGUACUAAUUAGGUUUUAUUUUGGUCUCAACAUGUUUCUUUCAUAUUAGUUGGUAUUAUUGUCAUUACAUCAAUAAGAGGUCUACUAAUCACUCUCACUAAAUUUUUCUAUGCCAUUGCAAGCAGCAAGUCUUCAAAUGCUAUUGUCUUAUGUCUAGCAGAAGUUAUGGGUAUGUAUUUCGUGUCGUCAGUCCUUCUAAUGAGAAUGAAUGUUCCAGAAGAGUAUAGGACUAUCAUCAUGAGAGUCUUAGGGCAGCUUGACUUCAGUUUUUAUCAUCGUUGGUUUGAUGUUAUAUUUUUAGUGAGUUCAACAAUUUAAUGCUGUUUUUUAUAUUGCUCAUCAGCAGUCAUCAAGUAAAAGAACAGGAUAACGCAUG